CUGUGACAUACCUAUAACGUUGCCUCGGCGGGAACAGACGGCCCCGUAACACGGGCCGCCCCCGCCAGAGGACCCCCUAACUCUGUUUCUAUAAUGUUUCUUCUGAGUAAACAAGCAAAUAAAUUAAAACUUUCAACAACGGAUCUCUUGGCUCUGGCAUCGAUGAAGAACGCAGCGAAAUGCGAUAAGUAAUGUGAAUUGCAGAAUUCAGUGAAUCAUCGAAUCUUUGAACGCACAUUGCGCCCGCCAGUAUUCUGGCGGGCAUGCCUGUUCGAGCGUCAUUACAACCCUCAGGCCCCCGGGCCUGGCGUUGGGGAUCGGCGGAAGCCCCCUGCGGGCACAACGCCGUCCCCCAAAUACAGUGGCGGUCCCGCCGCAGCUUCCAUUGCGUAGUAGCUAACACCUCGCAACUGGAGAGCGGCGCGGCCACGCCGUAAAACACCCAACUUCUGAAUGUUGACCUCGAAUCAGGUAGGAAUACCCGCUGAACUUAAGCAUAUCAAUAAGCGGAGGA
RNAcentral lists this ribosomal RNA (514 nucleotides) under Fusarium cf. solani A82. RNAcentral describes it as "eukaryotic LSU rRNA". The stretch from base 128 to 281 matches the Rfam family "5.8S ribosomal RNA". Lineage: Eukaryota; Fungi; Ascomycota; Sordariomycetes; Hypocreales; Nectriaceae. The record is from RNAcentral.